CCUACGGGCGGCUGCAGUGGGGAAUAUUGCACAAUGGGCGCAAGCCUGAUGCAGCCAUGCCGCGUGUGUGAAGAAGGCCUUCGGGUUGUAAAGCACUUUCAGCGGGGAGGAAGGCGGUGAGGUUAAUAACCUCAUCGAUUGACGUUACCCGCAGAAGAAGCACCGGCUAACUCCGUGCCAGCAGCCGCGGUAAUACGGAGGGUGCAAGCGUUAAUCGGAAUUACUGGGCGUAAAGCGCACGCAGGCGGUCUGUCAAGUCGGAUGUGAAAUCCCCGGGCUCAACCUGGGAACUGCAUUCGAAACUGGCAGGCUAGAGUCUUGGAGAGGGGGGUAGAAUUCCAGGUGUAGCGGUGAAAUGCGUAGAGAUCUGGAGGAAUACCGGUGGCGAAGGCGGCCCCCUGGACAAAGACUGACGCUCAGGUGCGAAAGCGUGGGGAGCAAACAGGAUUAGAUACCCCAGUAGUC
Molecule: ribosomal RNA, 465 nt
Filed under: uncultured Klebsiella sp.
Lineage: Bacteria; Pseudomonadati; Pseudomonadota; Gammaproteobacteria; Enterobacterales; Enterobacteriaceae
Description: bacterial SSU rRNA
Rfam family: Bacterial small subunit ribosomal RNA
Source: RNAcentral